GGGAUAUGGCGAAAUUGGUAGACGCUACGGACUUAAAAUCCGUCGAUUUCAAAAAUCAUGAGG
Molecule: transfer RNA, 63 nt
Filed under: Ambrosia tenuifolia
Lineage: Eukaryota; Viridiplantae; Streptophyta; Magnoliopsida; Asterales; Asteraceae
Description: partial tRNA-Leu
Source: RNAcentral